GAGAGAUGCUCGCAGCAGCAGAGGCCGCUAACCUUUGCCCCCCUUGGUUGAACUCCGAGGCUCACUCG
RNAcentral lists this transfer RNA (68 nucleotides) under Melichthys vidua (pinktail triggerfish). Its description in RNAcentral is "tRNA-Ser(AGY)". Lineage: Eukaryota; Metazoa; Chordata; Actinopteri; Tetraodontiformes; Balistidae. The record is from RNAcentral.